Long non-coding RNA from Frankliniella occidentalis (western flower thrips), 552 nucleotides. RefSeq lists it as uncharacterized. The record is from RefSeq and is a predicted model, not a curated record. Lineage: Eukaryota; Metazoa; Arthropoda; Insecta; Thysanoptera; Thripidae. The transcript has 3 exons.
AACAUGCGGGAACUUUCCGCAGAAUCUCCGACGCUGCUAGCACAGUGAGAAACGAUUCAAAUUCCCUUUUCCAAGAUCAGUAGGCUGGCGACAUCCGCCUGCCCUCUUGCCCUCCCCUCCCUUCGUCCGUCAGUCUGUGGUUCCAUCCGUACUCGCUGACCCGCGUGCGCGUUCACCGCCGGAGUUAUGCCUCGCGUUUUUAUAGUCGGUCCUUAAUUUUCAACUAAAUGUAUUGUUCGUGUAAUUUCAGAAUUACCUUCUCUGUGCGAUCGUGAAGCUGUUAAUCGUCUCUCGGUCUUAUUUUGGCUUUACUCUUCUCUUGUCCUGUCGCACCGGCCCACGCUCCUAACCUCUUCAAUGUCUUCCAACACAGAUGGUGCAUUCCGUUAAAGGGGCUGCGGUGCGAGAUACCCGCCCUGAAACUUUUUGAGAACGGGAAUGGACUGGACACGCCCUAAAAAAUGAGUCUAGCGACAGCACUUUACUGCCCCCAGCACGACUCGACUAUAGGAGCCCCUGACGCACUGGUCAAUCGGAAAACUAUGACUUCAG